UAAUACGGAGAGUGCAAGCGUUGCUCGGAAUUACUGGGCGUAAAGCGCGCGUAGGCGGGACUUUAAGUCGGAUGUGAAAUCCUGCGGCUCAACCGUAUGUAGUGCAUCCGAUACUGAAGACCUAGAGUUCGGCAGAGGAAAGUGGAAUUCCCGGUGUAGAGGUGAAAUUCGUAGAUACCGGGAGGAACACCAGUGGCGAAGGCGACUUUCUGGGCCUGAACUGACGCUGAGGUGCGAAAGCGUGGGGAGCAAACGGGAUUAGAUACCCCGGUAGUCCACGCCGUAAACGAUGGAUGCUAGGUGUUCGAGACUACGUGUUUUGAGUGCCGAAGCUAACGCAUUAAGCAUCCCGCCUGGGGAGUACGGCCGCAAGGCUA
This 377-nucleotide ribosomal RNA is filed under the name uncultured bacterium. RNAcentral describes it as "bacterial SSU rRNA". It matches the Rfam family "Bacterial small subunit ribosomal RNA", at positions 521 to 896 of the family's 1533-position model. The record is from RNAcentral.